CCAAUUUACCUCAGUGCUAUCCAUUGUCUUUUUCUUUAUUAAGAUGCAGCAAAGCAACAUGAAGAAAAAUGGCACUCUUUUUUUUUCACCGAUUAAAGGAUCCUUGACACAUGGUUAAUAAGCAAUUACAAUCUAGUGGUCAUAUAAUUGUCAAGCUUGUUGUACCUCUAUAUCUUACUCUAAGAUGCAUCAUUUAUCACCAUUGGGUCAUGAGUACCACCUUUUUAUUAGUCUAUUCAAUCAAACUAACUAGUUAG
This 257-nucleotide long non-coding RNA is filed under the name Elaeis guineensis (African oil palm). RNAcentral's name for it is "long non-coding RNA (EGUI_LNC013350)". The record is from RNAcentral. Lineage: Eukaryota; Viridiplantae; Streptophyta; Magnoliopsida; Arecales; Arecaceae.